ACUUACCUACUCUUGACAUCCAGAGAACUUUCCAGAGAUGGAUUGGUGCCUUCGGGAACUCUGAGACAGGUGCUGCAUGGCUGUCGUCAGCUCGUGUUGUGAAAUGUUGGGUUAAGUCCCGCAACGAGCGCAACCCUUAUCCUUUGUUGCCAGCGGUCCGGCCGGGAACUCAAAGGAGACUGCCAGUGAUAAACUGGAGGAAGGUGGGGAUGACGUCAAGUCAUCAUGGCCCUUACGAGUAGGGCUACACACGUGCUACAAUGGCGCAUACAAAGAGAAGCGACCUCGCGAGAGCAAGCGGACCUCAUAAAGUGCGUCGUAGUCCGGAUUGGAGUCUGCAACUCGACUCCAUGAAGUCGGAAUCGCUAGUAAUCGUAGAUCAGAAU
RNAcentral lists this ribosomal RNA (386 nucleotides) under Enterobacter sp. FER55. RNAcentral describes it as "bacterial SSU rRNA". It matches the Rfam family "Bacterial small subunit ribosomal RNA", at positions 969 to 1355 of the family's 1533-position model. Lineage: Bacteria; Pseudomonadati; Pseudomonadota; Gammaproteobacteria; Enterobacterales; Enterobacteriaceae. The record is from RNAcentral.